UACGUAGGGGGCAAGCGUUGUCCGGAUUUAUUGGGCGUAAAGAGCGUGUAGGCGGUUUGGUAGGUCCGCUGUGAAAACUCGAGGCUCAACCUCGAGACGCCGGUGGAAACCAUCAGACUAGAGUCCGGAAGAGGAGUGUGGAAUUCCCGGUGUAGCGGUGAAAUGCGCAGAUAUCGGGAAGAACACCCGUGGCGAAGGCGGCACUCUGGGACGGUACUGACGCUGAGACGCGAAAGCGUGGGGAGCGAACAGG
Molecule: ribosomal RNA, 253 nt
Filed under: uncultured bacterium
Lineage: Bacteria
Description: partial 16S ribosomal RNA
Rfam family: Bacterial small subunit ribosomal RNA
Source: RNAcentral